RNAcentral lists this ribosomal RNA (460 nucleotides) under uncultured bacterium. Its description in RNAcentral is "partial 16S ribosomal RNA". It matches the Rfam family "Bacterial small subunit ribosomal RNA", at positions 338 to 795 of the family's 1533-position model. The record is from RNAcentral.
CCUACGGGAGGCAGCAGUGAGGAAUAUUGGUCAAUGGACGAGAGUCUGAACCAGCCAAGUAGCGUGAAGGAUGACUGCCCUAUGGGUUGUAAACUUCUUUUAUAUGGGAAUAAAAUGUUCCACGUGUGGGAUUUUGUAUGUACCAUAUGAAUAAGGAUCGGCUAACUCCGUGCCAGCAGCCGCGGUAAUACGGAGGAUCCGAGCGUUAUCCGGAUUUAUUGGGUUUAAAGGGAGCGUAGGUGGAUUGUUAAGUCAGUUGUGACAGUUUGCGGCUCAACCGUAAAAUUGCAGUUGAAACUGGCAGUAGUGAGGAGAGGAGAGGUGGGCGGAAGUCGUGGUGUAGCGGGGAAAGGCUUAGAUAUCACGAAGAACUCCGAUUGCGAAGGCAGGUGACUGGACUGCAACUGACACGGAGGCUCGAAAGUGUGGGUAUCAAACAGGAUGAGAUACCCCAGUAGUC